This 497-nucleotide ribosomal RNA is filed under the name uncultured bacterium. Its description in RNAcentral is "partial 16S ribosomal RNA". It matches the Rfam family "Bacterial small subunit ribosomal RNA", at positions 28 to 507 of the family's 1533-position model. The record is from RNAcentral.
GAUGAACGCUGGCGGCGUGCCUAAUACAUGCAAGUCGAGCGAACAGACGAGGAGCUUGCUCCUCUGACGUUAGCGGCGGACGGGUGAGUAACACGUGGAUAACCUACCUAUAAGACUGGGAUAACUUCGGGAAACCGGAGCUAAUACCGGAUAAUAUAUCGAACCGCAUGGUUCAAUAGUGAAAGACGGCUUUGCUGUCACUUAUAGAUGGAUCCGCGCCGCAUUAGCUAGUUGGUAAGGUAACGGCUUACCAAGGCAACGAUGCGUAGCCGACCUGAGAGGGUGAUCGGCCACACUGGAACUGAGACACGGUCCAGACUCCUACGGGAGGCAGCAGUAGGGAAUCUUCCGCAAUGGGCGAAAGCCUGACGGAGCAACGCCGCGUGAGUGAUGAAGGUCUUCGGAUCGUAAAACUCUGUUAUUAGGGAAGAACAAAUGUGUAAGUAACUAUGCACGUCUUGACGGUACCUAAUCAGAAAGCCACGGCUAACUACGUG